RNAcentral lists this long non-coding RNA (3105 nucleotides) under Homo sapiens (human). RNAcentral describes it as "HSALNT0356704". Lineage: Eukaryota; Metazoa; Chordata; Mammalia; Primates; Hominidae. The record is from RNAcentral.
AGACUAGCUUCAUGUUUCACGUAUUUCAAACCUUGUUCCUCCUCUAAUCCCCACUUGCUUUGCUCAUGGGUCCCCUAGGAUAUGCUAAUAGUACUCUGUAAAAUCUGGCCUUCAACCUUUUAGUAAUAUAGUUGGAUGUUUUUGCAAAGGGAGUGAUAGGUAUAUUGCUAGAGCCCAUUCAUGAAGUGGCUUUCUGAUGUGUUCAUUUCACUAGGCUCAAGUAUGGUACUCAGUGACCAAGUCAAUAUAAAUCUAGGUGGUUUGUGAAGGGAUGUUGCAGAAGUAAUUAAAGUUCCUAAUCAGUUGACUUUAAAUUAGGGAAAUUAUCUGGAGAGGGCCUGGCUUAAUCAGUUGAAUGGUUUUAAAAUUGAGCUCAGGCUUUUCCUGAGGGUGAGGGCUUCUGAUUAUGGAACACAGCUUUGGCUCGAGAAGUUCCACAUGAAGUUCCAGUUCCAGUUUGCUCCUGAUCCUCUCCCCUCCCCUCCCCUCCCCUUCCUUUCUUUUUCUUCCAUUCUUUCUUUUCCUUCCCUUUCUCUUUCCUUUUGUUUGUUUUCUUUUCUUUUUUUUCUUUUCUUUCUGACAGGAUUUCACUCUGUUUCCCAUGCUGGAGUGCAGUAACAUGAUCAUAGCUCACUGCAGCCUCAAACUCUCAGGCUCAAGCAAUCUUCCCACCUUGGCCUCCUCAGUAGCUAGGACUACGGGUAUGUGCCACCAUACCUGGCUAAUUUUUUUGGUUUUUCAUAAACAUGAGGUGUCCCUGUGUUGCCCAGGCUGGUCUCAAACUGCUGGCCUCAAGCGAUCCUCCUGCUUUGGCCUCCUAAAGUGAUGGGAUUACACGUGUGAGCCACCAUGCCUGCCCUAAUCUUCCCUUUCUGAUGAGCUGUCUUACAAACUUUGGACUUGCUUAGCCAGUCUGACACAAUUGCAUAAGCCAGGUCCUCGUAAUAUGUCUCUAUAUAUGUGUAUCUAUGUAUGUAUUCAUGAUCGUCAAUCUAUUUUCGUAUUUCCUACUGGUUCUGUUUCUUUGGUUGAACUCUAAUACACCAUUCCAUUAUUAACAACCACAUUAAUACACCAUUCCUAUAUAUAUAUAUAUAUAUAUAUAUUUUUUUUUUUUAGAUGGAGUUUCGCUCUUGUUGCUCAGGCUGGAGUGCAAUGGCACUAUCUCAACUCACUGCAACCUCCACCUCCCAGGUUCAAGCGAUUCACCUGCCCCAGCCUCCCAGAGUAGCUGGGAUUACAGGUGCACGCCACCAUGCCCGGCUAAUUUUUGUAUUUUUAGUAGAGACAGGGUUUCACCAUGUUGGUCAGGCUGGUCUCGAACACCUGACCUCAUGUGAUUCACCCGCCUCGGCCUCCCAAAGUGCUGGGAUUACAGGCUUGAGCCACCGUGCCCGGCCACACCAUUUCCUAUAUUAACAACCAUGUAAAUAUAUUAUUCCACUAAAACCCAAACUAAUGUAUUCCAAACUCAACAUCCCUUUACCCUGAUUCCCCAAAAUGUCCUGGUCAUUCCAACGCCACCUAUCACAAGAGGAGGUACCCCCCAACCCAUCUUGGAGCGGUAGUUGAAAUGGAGAGUCUAAAACAAUUAUGGUUAAAAUAUUAUCUACAGAUUUUAUUUUUAAAAACAUAGCCACGUGAAAACACUGCUAAGGCCCUCCCAGGGCCUUGGAAAGGACCCAUGCAAGGGAGUGGCCCUGAAACUUAAGCCUCAUUAGCGUCACUAUAGAAUCACUCUGAAUGCCAAGCACAGCUUCUGAGAGAAGCCACUUGAAGUGAAACCAGAACAGAUAUUCAAAGAUGAGUAGAAAAUAAAGCAUCAUAAGGGCAAAAGGAAGGCAGAAAUGGACACUGGGCAGAGGAGAAGCUUGAGAAAAGCCACUGAGAUGAGAAACAGCUGGUUUAUAUAAGACGUAAAGAGAGAUGAAUGUUGAGAGGCGAGCAAGGGAUCGUGCACUCGAAUAAUGACAAGAGGCAUUCUUCCAUUCGGUCCUCCUUCUACUUCAUCUGUACUCAGGGCCUUUUGAUGUGGUGUCAGGCUCUGCCCGUGUGACUCAAGCAAGGAGAUUACAUGUUUCACUACAUAAUCAAAGCUACACGUGUCAUCUGGCCUAAUUUAAAAGAGAGCAGAAAUCAUACCCCUUUACAUGCAGAUUGAUAUGGUUUGGCUGUGUCCCCACCCAAAUCUCGAGUUGUAGCUCCCAUAAUUCUCACGUGUCAUGGAAGGGAUCCAAUGGGAGGUCAUUGAAUCAUGGGGUGGGUUUUUCCUGGGCUGUUCUCCUGAUAGUGAAGUCUCAUGAGAUUUGAUGGUUAUAAAGGGGAGUUCCCCUGCCACGUGAGAUGACCCUUUGCUCUUUCUUUGCCUUCUGCCAUGAUUUUGAGGCCUCCGCAGCCAUGUGAAACUGUGAGUCCAUUAAACCUCUUUCAUUUAUAAAUUACCCAGUCUUAGGUAUGUCUUUUUUAGCAGCGUGAGAAUGGACGAAUACACAGACAUUCAAAUGUAAGGUCAUAAAGUUACUCAAGUAGACUCAUGAAGAAUUAGAGACUCCUGAAGGCUUAGGCCACAUAACUAUGGGAUGCAUAGAACAACCGACUUUUCUCCAUCACAAAACUGGAGGUGGAAAAUUCUAUCUUAACUUGGAAACCUUUGUAUUACUAAGAUUAUAAAGCAUAUUCGUGAGAAUUUAUUCUCUGCUGAUAACUUAUGGAAAAUCGAUUUCAUUGACUAUACUAAGAUUAUAAAGCAUCUAUAUUCGUGAGAAUUUAUUCUCUGCUGAUAACUUAUGGAAAAUCUAUUUCUUUGACUAUAAAUGAGUGUUCUCAACAUUGGUAAACAUUGUAAUCACCCAGAUCUGAAAUUGUUUUUGCCAAAAUUAAAACAAUGAGAAAAUUAUGACAGUGAAGAGAUCUGACCUAACCAACUCCAUGUUGCUUCUAACCUCCAAGCUGCCCUUGUUCAUUCCUCAGCAUAGGCUGAACUAACUUUGGGAGGAACUUGGUUUAUAGUUUAAUCCUGAGACAAAGAUAACAGCCCUUUUCUGAAACAAACUCCCUUCUUGCCUGGGGACCAGACUGCUCUGUAAGACUAACAAGUUAGCCACA